RNAcentral lists this ribosomal RNA (1338 nucleotides) under uncultured bacterium. RNAcentral describes it as "bacterial SSU rRNA". It matches the Rfam family "Bacterial small subunit ribosomal RNA", at positions 27 to 1381 of the family's 1533-position model. The record is from RNAcentral.
GGACGAACGCUGGCGGCGUGCUUAACACAUGCAAGUCGAACGGUAAGGCCCUUCGGGGUACACGAGUGGCGAACGGGUGAGUAACGCGUGAGUAACCUGCCCUUGACUCUGGGACAACAGAUGGAAACGUCUGCUAAUACCGGAUACUCAGCCUUGUGGGCAUCCACAGGGUUGGAAAGCUCCGGCGGUCAAGGAUGGACUCGCGUCCUAUCAGCUAGUUGGUGGGGUAAUGGCCUACCAAGGCGACGACGGGUAGCCGGCCUGAGAGGGCGACCGGCCACAUUGGGACUGAGAUACGGCCCAGACUCCUACGGGAGGCAGCAGUGGGGAAUAUUGCACAAUGGGCGCAAGCCUGAUGCAGCAACGCCGCGUGCGGGAUGACGGCCUUCGGGUUGUAAACCGCUUUCAGCAGGGACGAAGCGCAAGUGACGGUACCUGCAGAAGAAGCACCGGCUAACUACGCGCCAGCAGCCGCGGUAAUACGUAGGGGGCGAGCGUUGUCCGGAAUGAUUGGGCGUAAAGGGCGCGUAGGCGGCUGUGUAAGUCAGUAGUGGAAGUCCAGCUUUUAAGGUUGGAAGUGCUAUUGAAACUGUGCAGCUUGAGUGCAGGAGAGGUUAUCGGAAUUCCCGGUGUAGCGGUGAAAUGCGUAGAGAUCGGGAGGAACACCAGUGGCGAAGGCGGGUAACUGGACUGCAACUGACGCUGAGGCGCGAAAGUGUGGGGAGCAAACAGGAUUAGAUACCCUGGUAGUCCACACUGUAAACGAUGAAUGCUAGGUGUAGGGGGUAUCGACCCCUUCUGUGCCGGAGUAAACACAAUAAGCAUUCCGCCUGGGGAGUACGGUCGCAAGAUUAAAACUCAAAGGAAUUGACGGGGGCCCGCACAAGCAGCGGAGCAUGUGGUUUAAUUCGAAGCAACGCGAAGAACCUUACCAGGUCUUGACAUCCAGGUAAAGCUGCAGAGAUGCAGUGUGUGCUUGCACAAUCUGAGACAGGUGGUGCAUGGUUGUCGUCAGCUCGUGUCGUGAAAUGUUGGGUUAAGUCCCGCAACGAGCGCAACCCUUGCCGAUAGUUACUAACAGGUGAAGCUGAGGACUCUAUUGGGACCGCCGGGGACAACUCGGAGGAAGGUGGGGACGACGUCAAAUCAUCAUGCCCCUUAUGACCUGGGCUACACACGUGCUACAAUGGCCGAGACAGAGAGCAGCGAGGGCGCAAGCCGGAGCGAAUCUCAAAAAAGCGGUCACAGUUCGGAUUGUGGGCUGCAACCCGCCCACAUGAAGCAGGAGUUGCUAGUAAUCGCGAAUCAGCAUGUCGCGGUGAAUACGUUCCCGGGCCU